This 275-nucleotide ribosomal RNA is filed under the name uncultured prokaryote. RNAcentral's name for it is "partial 16S ribosomal RNA". It matches the Rfam family "Bacterial small subunit ribosomal RNA", at positions 524 to 798 of the family's 1533-position model. The record is from RNAcentral.
UACGUAGGUGGCGAGCGUUGUCCGGAUUUACUGGGCGUAAAGGGAGCGUAGGCGGAUCCAUAAGUUUAUCGUUUAAGGCGUCGGCUUAACCGGCGUAGGGCGGUAGAUACUGUGGAUCUGGAAUGCGGUUGGGGAAGACAGAAUUCCUGGUGUAGCGGUGGAAUGCGCAGAGAUCAGGAGGAAUACUGAAGGCGAAGGCAGUCUUCCAAGCCGUUAUUGACGCUCAACUGCGAAGGUGUGGGUAUCAAACAGGAUUAGAUACCCUGGUAGUCCCU